AGAGUUUGAUCCUGGCUCAGAGCGAACGCUGGCGGCGUGCUUAACACAUGCAAGUCGAGUGCGCGUUUCCGUAGCAAUACGGGAAUGGCGCACGGCGCACGGGUGCGUAACACGUGGGUAAUCUGCCCUCUGAUGGGGAAUAACCCGCCGAAAGGCGGGCUAAUACCGCAUAACAUUCCUUGGACUCCGGUUCGAGGAUUCAAAGGCGUAAGUCGUCGGAGGUGGAGCCCGCGCACGAUUAGCUAGUUGGUAGGGUAAUGGCCUACCAAGGCUAUGAUCGUUAGCUGGUCUGAGAGGAUGGCCAGCCACACUGGAACUGAGACACGGUCCAGACUCCUACGGGAGGCAGCAGUGGGGAAUCUUGCACAAUGGGCGAAAGCCUGAUGCAGCGACGCCGCGUGGGGGAUGAAGCUUCUCGGAGUGUAAACCCCUUUCGACCGGGACGAAUGCCCGCAAGGGAUUGACGGUACCGGUAUAAGAAGCCCCGGCUAACUACGUGCCAGCAGCCGCGGUAAGACGUAGGGGGCCAGCGUUGCUCGGAAUUACUGGGUGUAAAGGGUUCGUAGGCGGUGUGGCAAGUCGGGAGUGAAAUCUCUGGGCUCAACUCAGGGGCUGCUUCCGAAACUGCCGUGCUAGAGUGUGGGAGAGGCGCGUGGAAUUGCAGGUGUAGCGGUGAAAUGCGUAGAUAUCUGCAGGAACACCCGUGGCGAAAGCGGCGCGCUGGACCACUACUGACGCUGAGGAACGAAAGCUAGGGGAGCAAACAGGAUUAGAUACCCCAGUAGUCC
Molecule: ribosomal RNA, 788 nt
Filed under: uncultured bacterium
Lineage: Bacteria
Description: bacterial SSU rRNA
Rfam family: Bacterial small subunit ribosomal RNA
Source: RNAcentral